This 253-nucleotide ribosomal RNA is filed under the name uncultured bacterium. Its description in RNAcentral is "partial 16S ribosomal RNA". It matches the Rfam family "Bacterial small subunit ribosomal RNA", at positions 524 to 776 of the family's 1533-position model. The record is from RNAcentral.
UACAGAGGUGGCAAGCGUUGUUCGGAAUUACUGGGCGUAAAGGGCGCGUAGGCGGCCUUGUAAGUCUUGUGUGAAAGCCCUCGGCUUAACUGAGGAUCUGCACAGGAUACUGCGAGGCUUGAGUUCGGGAGAGGAAAGCGGAAUUCCGGGUGUAGCGGUGAAAUGCGUAGAUAUCCGGAGGAACACCAGUGGCGAAGGCGGCUUUCUGGACCGACACUGACGCUGAGGCGCGAAAGCUAGGGGAGCAAACGGG